Molecule: ribosomal RNA, 659 nt
Filed under: uncultured archaeon
Lineage: Archaea
Description: bacterial SSU rRNA
Rfam family: Archaeal small subunit ribosomal RNA
Source: RNAcentral
AGGAGAGAUGGUUUAAAGGGGUGCGAGAGCUUCUUUCUUGUACCUGCUCUAGGAUGGGACUGCGGCCGAUCAGGCUGUUGGUGGGGUAAUGGCCCACCAAACCUGUAACCGGUACGGGCCUUGAGAGAGGGGGCCCGGAGAUGGACACUGAGAGAAGGGUCCAGGUCCUACGGGGCGCAGCAGGCGCGAAACCUUCGCAAUGCGCGAAAGCGUGACGAGGUUAAUCCGAGUGGUCCCCGCUGAGGGGAUCUUUUCUUGGCUCUAAAACGGCCAGGGAAUAAGGGGAGGGCAAGUCUGGUGUCAGCCGCCGCGGUAAUACCAGCUCCUCGAGUGGUCGGGGCGAUUAUUGGGCCUAAAGCAUCCGUAGCCUGUUCCGUAGGUCUUCUGUUAAAUCCAACGGCUUAACCGUUGGCCUGCAGAAGAUACCGCGGGACUAGGAGGCGGGAGAGGUGGACGGUACUCCACGUGUAGGGGUAAAAUCCUUUGAUCCGUGGAAGACCACCAGUGGCGAAGGCGGUCCACCAGAACGCGCUCGACGGUGAGGGAUGAAAGCUGGGGGAGCGAACCGGAUUAGAUACCCGGGUAGUCCCAGCCGUAAACGAUGCGAGCUAGAUGAUCCAAUCGCAAAUCGCGAUUGGAGUGUCGCAGGGAAGCCGUUA